RNA transcript from Triticum dicoccoides, 2225 nucleotides. RefSeq lists it as uncharacterized. The record is from RefSeq and is a predicted model, not a curated record. The transcript has 4 exons. NCBI's taxonomy places the organism in Eukaryota, Viridiplantae, Streptophyta, Magnoliopsida, Poales, Poaceae.
CAGAUCCGCCACAUCCUCACCCAACCGUCCCUCUCGCGUCCCAUCCCGGUCUCUUCACGCAGCUCCUCGCUGUGCUACCUGCGGCGGCUGCAUCAAGUGAUGUCCGGCGAAUCCCGCCAACGCCAAGCACAGCCCGAGGUCCCUUUGCUCCAUGGAGCCUUCCCAUCCAGCUAGAUCGAGUGCUUGCUGCCACCAAAGCCCACCCGCGACCCAUCCCGCAUGGCUAGGGUUUCAGGCGUCGGAUCUGGUGUCAGUGGCCAUGUCGUCCUCGUUUCCUCCGAUGUGCGGGGAGGAACGGGCAGUGGACAACCUUGCUGCGACUCGGGAUGAAGCAGCCACGAGCUUCCUCCUCCUCCGGCUUCAGUGGAGGUGUACCAACGGUAGUUUGAAGCAGAUUAGGCGGCCGCGGGCAUCUUUGGCGGUGAGGCCGUCCAGUGAAGGAAAUGGCAGUGUGGCGAUUUGUGUUCUAUUCUCCAUCCUUUAAGCUCAUAACAGAAGAAAGAACUAUACAAUCACUAUUAUUUUAUUAAGAAAAAACCUAUCAUGUACGCAUGUUUUGAUGAGUACUCCUCUUGACUCGAUUGUGUUGUAGGGAGUGGAAGCAUCCAAUUGCGGUGAUCUGCAGCUCUGGUCGCCUCCAGCAGCACCACAUAAUCAAAGUUCCAAACAGUUGUGUUGGACUGCUGCCUCUAGCCAACCAUAACAUAAUCAUUGGAUGUGCUUCUUAUGUAGAAGAUUUGAGUGAUCUAUGUGUUUAUUUCAGAAAACAUUUUCUUAAUGAAGAUUUAUAUUAUAUAGAUAUUCCUGUACAUUAGCUUUAGUUUUUUUGCUAACUAGAAAGUGGUUUCCUUUUUCUUACACCAACUCACUAAAGCAUUGGGUUCAUUUGGGGUUCCUAGAUAGCUAAUUUUAGGAGCACACAAGAUUUCGACUCCUGCUAUGUAAUUAAAGGAAAUCAUGAUAUUGACUAAUAUCCUCUGUAUAUUUACUAACCCUGGAUCGGAGACAUUUAAAUUUAAAUUAUAAUUUGGAAAGUUUAUUUAUAGGAAUGAUACAUAGUAUGUAUAAAUGCAUUUAUGAAAAUAAAUUUAUUUCAGCCACAUGUAAGCCAACACAGUAUCACAUGUAAUAUUUCUCAAUUAGUUAAAAGUAUGCUUCUUUUAAAACUGGUGGUUUUAUUUUUUAUUACAUAAAAAUGUUAUAGUUAUACAUGGCAAACUAAAAUUGUUGUGCAGACACACUGGUUGAUGACUAGUCUAACUAACUCAGGGAUAAAUUCAUUGAGUAAGAUGUAAAGUUGCCAAGAUAGUAACUAGGGCACAUAGAACGGGACGAAUAUAGAUUCUCUUAUUUUAUUAAGUAGAAUGGAACUUGGUGAAGCUUUACUUGUGUUGCGCUGUUCUAGAGAUGCAUAAGACACAUGUAACCAUUUUCCCUUGGCAUUGCAGCUGCAUGCACCAACUUGAUGUAGGGCGACACCAUGGAAGGUAUACACUCUCCCUCUCCCUACUGUACUACCGCUCGUUGUGUCCAUGAACAUUGAGCCAUGCUAGGUUCUAUCUGUCCAUAUAAUGUUAUUGAGCCAUAUUGUUCUGUAGGCUAUGUCGUAUAUUAUGGCGUCUGGAUUAGUCAUCAAUGAUCACUAACACUCAUGCUGGUAUAUUUCCAGAAUCAUAACAAGGACGUAGUUCUUGCUACAGUUCUAAGUUAUGAUCCCGAAUUUAAACUUAAUGGUGCUGAAAUUAAAAUGCAUUUUGGGCAGUGUAAUACAAAACUUGCGAAAGCUGAAGAUUUGGUACAGAUUCGCAAAAACUGCAAUACUAAUGGUAAUGCAGAAAAAAUAUAUUGCAUGGCCCUCAACGUUUAUUGAAAAGAUAUAUGGAUGAUUAUAUGAGUGCGUAACAAGUAUACUGCAAUGAUGAUGAUGAUGAUGAUGACGAUGAUAUUCUGGUUCAUGAUGAUGAUGAUGACGAUGAUAUUCUGGUUCAUGAUGAUGAUGAUGGAUGCUUUCAAUUUUAGUUAAGUUGUGGGAUGUUCCUGUUGGAUGAUGUUCCUCAGUUAGUUUUAGUCAAGUUGUAGGGAUAUUGAUGGAUGAUUUUAGUUUAGAUUUUGCUGUCAAGAAAAUUUUAGAUUGUGCAUCACAUUUGGAUGAUGUUCCUCCUGUAAUAUCCAUUGUUGUAAUCCAACAGUUUUAUCUGAUAUAUGAUUUCUUCCUCUUGUGAGUA